This 171-nucleotide ribosomal RNA is filed under the name uncultured Rhodoferax sp. RNAcentral describes it as "partial 16S ribosomal RNA". It matches the Rfam family "Bacterial small subunit ribosomal RNA", at positions 1221 to 1380 of the family's 1533-position model. Lineage: Bacteria; Pseudomonadati; Pseudomonadota; Betaproteobacteria; Burkholderiales; Comamonadaceae. The record is from RNAcentral.
CGUCAUACAAUGGCUGGUACAAAGGGUUGCCAACCCGGCGACGGGGGAAGCCCAAUACCCAUAAAGCCAGUCGUAGUCCGGAUCGUAGUCUGCAACUCGACUACGUGAAGUCGGAAUCGCUAGUAAUCGUGGAUCAGAAUGUCACGGUGGAAUAACGUUCCCGGGUCCGUU